AAUUGCUGCUGUGAAGACACACAGAUUAAAAUCUGUGAGGCAUUUAGAUUUUAAUAGUAGUGAGGGUUCAGAAACCCAUGGAAAACUAAAACAAACAAAUGCAUCUCCUUUCAAAGAUGCAGUUGCCUGGUGUCUGUCACCAUGUCCUCCACUUUAAGGGUGGAAGACCUUCUAGUCUUGAAGCUAUGUCUUGACUUCUUUCUGCAACUAAGAAUGGCACUGAAGCCAUCAAGCAUGUUAUUUCCACAAGGAAUGCAGACUUCUACUCAAAGGGACAGCAGAUUAGCAGCUUUCCCACCAGUGCAAAACCGGAUAACCAACUCCUGUUCAGUGAAAGGUAGUCUAAUGGAUAGGAAGGAUAAGGAGACUUUGGCUUCAAUUCAUGAAACAUUUAUCAAGCCAAAUUCCUGAUUGGUUCCUACUCUGGAAGAAUUCUUGAAUAAAAGUGUCUGAUGGAUGUGCCAGCUCUCUCUAAUACAAUUACUAGAGCUAUAGAAAGAAAAUUGAUAACUCUAUGUUCAAUGCUUUAUCUGCAGAGUCUACAGUAAAUAAUUUAUGUGACAAACAUUAAGUAAUGACAGUAGAGCAAAAUGUAAAAUAACUCUUAUUUUAUAACUAGAGUCAUGAUUCUGUGCAUGGAAUGGGGGGCUAGGGAAGGUCUUCUGGGGAAGGAGUAAGUAAACAGCAAUUAAAGACUGUAUUAUAAUGCAUAUACACUAGGGGAUUAAAAAAAAAAAAGAGUUUUGCAGGCAUACAUAUUUUGAACAUCUCCUAGCUCUCUGGGAGCCUGACUUCCUUUCAGACUAAUUAACAAAUGUUAUAAUCUGCUGACUUUCCAGUGUGAUUUGUAUUUCUGCUGUAUAUCAAGGGUACAAAUAAAGGAAAUCCUGUACCUAUUUCUGUUAAUAUUACAAUUUUAGAAGUUUUAAGCAAAGAUAAAUAAAUAUCAACUACUUGUGCUUUUGAGUAUCCUGUGAUACCACCAUAAAAUAGAUGUAAUUGUGCAGUGGGAAGCGACCUACAAAAAACUGAGUCCAACUGCCUGACCACUUCAGAGUUCAUCAAAAUUUACAGCAUAUUACCAAGGAUAAUGUCCAAAUGCCUCUUGAACACUGACAGACAUGGUUCAUUGACCACCUCUCUAGGAAACUUUUUCCAAUAUUUGACCACAUUAAGUAAGGAGUUUUUUCUUAAUGUCCAGACUGACCUUCCCCAUGUACUUUUGUGCGGUUCCCAUUCUGCUAUUUGUGAUGAGGAGCGGAACCCUGCAGUUCCCUCUGUUUCCCUUCCUCAAGAGGACAGUGAGGUCACCUCUCAACCUUCUCCAGACUGGAUAACCCCAAGACCCUCAGCCUCUUCCAAAGGACAAACCAUCAGCCCUAAUACCAGGUUUGCUGCCUUCCUCCUGAACAUCCUUUUUAUAUCAAGAAGCUUGAAUCUGCCAAGACUUGAACUGUGCUCUUGAAGUCUCUUUCCUUCUUAUAGUACACUGUAAUAGUAACAGUUAGUGUCUUGACUUAGGUUAUGAUAAAGUAUCUGGAAAUUAUAUUGUGAACCAUGGAGUGGACAGGCAUGUGGGUGAAAUGUACUAUGGGCCCUUUGAAUCAGGCAUACAUUGAUUGUGAUUACAGGUUGGGCGUCGUUAAUGACUCUUAUGCCCUCACCAGUGAUCUGUUCUCUUUUAUUCAUCAGUGGUGGAAUAAAAUGCUUCCAAUUGAAU
Gallus gallus (chicken) is the source of this 1720-nucleotide long non-coding RNA. Lineage: Eukaryota; Metazoa; Chordata; Aves; Galliformes; Phasianidae. The record is from Ensembl.